CCCUUAGAUGUUCUGGGCCGCACGCGCGCUACACUGAUGCAUUCAACGAGUCUAAAACCUGCUCUGAUAGGGGUGGGUAAUCUUUUGAAUGUGCAUCGUGAUUGGGAUAGAUGAUUGCAAUUUUUCAUCUUCAACGAGGAAUGCCUAGUAAACGUAAGUCAUCAGCUUGCAUUGAUUACGUCCCUGCCCUUUGUACACACCGCCCGUCGCUCCUACCGAUUGAAUGAUCCGAUGAAUAUCAUGGAUUGAGGAUGCAAGUAGGUUAGCCUAUCUUCAUCUUCGAGAAGUGAAGUAAAUCUUAUCAUUUAGAGGAAGGAGAAGUCGUAACA
Molecule: ribosomal RNA, 329 nt
Filed under: uncultured eukaryote
Lineage: Eukaryota
Description: partial 18S ribosomal RNA
Rfam family: Eukaryotic small subunit ribosomal RNA
Source: RNAcentral